Aphis gossypii (cotton aphid) is the source of this 599-nucleotide long non-coding RNA. RefSeq lists it as uncharacterized. The transcript has 3 exons. NCBI's taxonomy places the organism in Eukaryota, Metazoa, Arthropoda, Insecta, Hemiptera, Aphididae. The record is from RefSeq and is a predicted model, not a curated record.
CGAACCGAAACCGCCACUCCUGAUGUCACUCUUCUAGUCGGCGGCGGCGGCGGCGGCACAAGACGUCCCGGCAGACACGCCUACCACCACGCGCCGUUUCUAUACAGGUAUCCCCGCGGACAGCAACAUUAUCGGUAAAAACAAUUCAAGGGCAUACAAGAAUAAGAUAUGUGUAUGAAAACGAUGUAUUUUUAAUUAGUACACUGCAGAUUACAAUGAUACUACAUUUUUAUCAAGACUCACCAGUUGCAGCAGAAGUAUUUUAUAAAACUUACACUUGAACUGUAAAAUGAGUUGUAACAUUUGUAACAUGUCACUUGUCAAUAUAUAUACAUCAGAUAUUAGCAGUGAACUAAAGUAAUAGAGUAAGUGUACUAGACAUAUAGAAGUUUGUGCGGGGGCAGCAGAAACAGCAUAUGCUUUGACUUUCUUUAGGGCUUCCGCAGAGGCUGGAAAAUAUUGAAUAAUAUUUUAUUUAUAAUUUUAAUUAUGUACCCAUUAGUUUUUUUUUUUUUAAUAGACAUCUUUAGUUUUUUAAGUACCUACAAAUACAGUCGAUUCAAAGUACCUAAAAUUAUUUUUAAAAUAUAUAUUUUAUA